Non-coding RNA from Taeniopygia guttata (zebra finch), 1103 nucleotides. NCBI's taxonomy places the organism in Eukaryota, Metazoa, Chordata, Aves, Passeriformes, Estrildidae. The record is from RefSeq and is a predicted model, not a curated record.
UUGCAGCAAAAAUUAAUGAUGGGAAUUGAGGAUGGUAAGGUUAAUUGUGAGUCAUGGAAAGUCAUCUUUUUUAGCCCUGAAAGCUAUAUGUAGUCAUCUAUUCACAACUCAUGCAUUUUCUUUGUCAUGCAUGUUAUUACAUCUGAGGAAACAAAGGUCCUAGUCAUGUUGCAAGAGAGUUUGGGUAGUUUCACAACUGAAGGAUUUCUUUUAACAUUUGUACACCAGAAAACAGAAACCAGGCAUUGGGUCAUGUAUGCAGGCCAUGGUUUCGCAGACAUUUACCCUUAUGCCCAAAUUUCAAUUGGAACCUGAUUUCCCUUGACUUCCAGGAAACAUCAGGGUGUUCUAAAAUUAACUCUGCUACUUUGAGGUGACAGCAGCACUGCAUGUUUGCAUGACUUGAUAAACAACUGUGUGUGCACAAGAAGUAUUUUGUUGACUGUGUUAAGCCUGGUGAGGUCACAAAUCUGUGCUGAUCCAUUCACCAAUGGAGAAAGAAAGUUUUCAGUGAUGCUGCUGGACUAAAUCACCAAGUGCUGGCAGGCUGCCAGGGUUGUGUUGCUGGGCAGAUCAUCAGGUGGUGGCCGGUCACUGAGAGCUGCUCAUGCAGCAAAAAUGUACAGGACAGCAGACUCACCCUUCCUUCCUUCCUUCCUUCUCCAAUGUCAAGGAAGGAAGGACUGUCUCCUUGAUGACCCUGAUUAGAGCUGAUGGACAGCAUGGGGCUUCCAUAAAAUAAAUUAUUUGAUGGCUAGCUUCUUCAGCUAAUGGAUGACACAGAAUAUUGCCUGAAUCUAUUAUGUAUCUAUGAACACCAAAUUCCUAGAUUUCAAGACCAUCCCAAUUGCUGGAAGUCAUCUUAAGAGGAAUGCCUUGUGGAGCUUCAGCACUCGGCUCUUACUCUGUCAUCACAGCCUUGCAGAGAAGGGUGGAUGGCUGCGUCUGGGAGUCCAUCUAAGUAAGAGGCUGGUUCACCUUGAACACUGGUGUGAAGCAAGGCUACAUUUGAUUUCUGGGGCUGCUUAGCAUUAUCCUACAUAGCUACUGUGUAGGCAUCACAAGCAGCAGCAUUCCGUGGGGUGGAUUGCACAUCUCUUGGA